GGUUCAGAAUGGGCUGUCAAGCUCCAAUCUUGUCAUCCAAUCCUGGCAUUUGAAGGUCCAAUGUCGGAGGCCAAUCGCUCAACGGGAUAUCCAAUGUGACAUUGGAUGGCGCCCAAUCACUGCGCGGGAUGACAUUGGACGUCACUUAUUGCUGCGCUUCUUUCCAGUCCCUCCGCCAGUGACUGACAUUGGACGUCGCCGCUGCGCUUCUUUCCAGUCCCUCCGCCAGUGACUGACAUUGGACGUCGCCGGCGAAACGGCUUCUAACAACUCUGUCAGAAAUGAGCAUCAAACCUAAGAGCCACAAGGCCAUGGGAAAUGGCGAGUGGAUGGCGAGGCUGAGGGCAUUUGCCACCACUGGCCUUUGGCCUUCAGGAGGUAAUAAACCAGCCCCAAGGCAACGGAAGUGGUAUGACCUCUACCAGAAGAUUGAGAAAUGCCCCAUGCAGGCCCAUGGACAGAGCACCCUCUUUGGAGGGUCCAAGGCCUGUAACUGUGGCUUUCACACC
Long non-coding RNA from Micropterus salmoides (largemouth bass), 509 nucleotides. RefSeq lists it as uncharacterized. The transcript is spliced from 3 exons. The record is from RefSeq and is a predicted model, not a curated record. NCBI's taxonomy places the organism in Eukaryota, Metazoa, Chordata, Actinopteri, Centrarchiformes, Centrarchidae.